Molecule: RNA transcript, 772 nt
Organism: Dipodomys ordii (Ord's kangaroo rat)
Lineage: Eukaryota; Metazoa; Chordata; Mammalia; Rodentia; Heteromyidae
Gene name: son of sevenless homolog 2-like
Exons: 1
Source: RefSeq, a predicted model, not a curated record
CGAGCUGGGGUUAUUUCUGGCGCUGGCUUGACUCCAAGAAGGCAUCUGCAUUGGUGACCAGUGGUGACAGCGGAACCAGGUCUGUCCCAGCCGCUGCCGCAGCCCCGGAGCGCCCACCGCAGGCUGGCGGCGGAGCUCCCGCAUCCCAGCAUCACUGUUGACCUCCACAGUGAAGGAAGAUGAGUGAGUCCAGCUCCAAGUCCAGCCAGCCCUUGGCCUCCAAGCCAGAAAAGGACGCUACUGAGAAGCUAGGCCGGCGGGGGAGGGGGGGAGCAGGCCAUGCAAGCAGCCUCCGAAGGAACCCAGUGAAGUGCCAAGGUCUAAGAGACUUCGGGGGCCCACCAGAGGGAGCAAAAACAAGGGUGCUGCCGGAAAACCAUCACAGCUCCAGGGAGGAGACCAAGGGGCAGACCCAAAAAACUGGAGAAGGAGGAAGAGGGCAUCUCGCAGGAGUCCUCGGAGGAGGAGCAGUGCCGACUGCACCCUGGCCAGGAGCAGCUUCCCUCUGGGACUGUGCAGCUUCGUCCAGCUCCCACAGCCCCCUCCCCUAAUCCCCCCAAACUGCCUCCUGUCCCCUUGCGCCCUCCCCACGCACACUACAGCACACCAGCGCUGCAGGGCUCCUGUGGCGAGUGGGGAGUGCUUUCCUCCACCUCCCAGCGCCCUUCCAGCCAUGCACACCUGCCUCUCCCAGACAAGGCUAACUUCCCACUUAGCCGCAGCAUGCACCUGCUGCACCCCCCACUCCCUUGUGGAGAAAUUGCUCUCUGAG